This 466-nucleotide ribosomal RNA is filed under the name uncultured bacterium. Its description in RNAcentral is "partial 16S ribosomal RNA". It matches the Rfam family "Bacterial small subunit ribosomal RNA", at positions 338 to 795 of the family's 1533-position model. The record is from RNAcentral.
CCUACGGGAGGCAGCAGUGAGGAAUAUUGGUCAAUGGGCGAGAGCCUGAACCAGCCAAGUCGCGUGAAGGAUGAAGGAUCUAUGGUUUGUAAACUUCUGUCAGCAGGGAAGAACGGGCACUGUGCUAAUCAGCAGUGAAUUGACGGUACAUGCAAAAGAAGCACCGGCUAACUCCGGGCCAGCAGCCGCGGUAAUACGGAGGGUGCGAGCGUUAAUCGGAAUGACUGGGCGUAAAGCGCUCGUAGGCAGUAUGUCAAGUCAAGGGUGAAAUCCCCGCGCUCAACGUGGGAACUGCCUUUGAAACUGGCAAACUGGAGUGUGUUAGAGGAUAGUGGAAUUCCAGGUGUAGGAGUGAAAUCCGUAGAUAUCUGGAGGAACAUCAGUGGCGAAGGCGACUAUCUGGCACAUAACUGACGCUGAGGAGCGAAAGCGUGGGUAGCAAACAGGAUUAGAUACCCCUGUAGUC